RNAcentral lists this ribosomal RNA (274 nucleotides) under uncultured bacterium. RNAcentral's name for it is "partial 16S ribosomal RNA". It matches the Rfam family "Bacterial small subunit ribosomal RNA", at positions 523 to 796 of the family's 1533-position model. The record is from RNAcentral.
AUACGAGGGGUGCAAGCGUUAAUCGGAAUUACUGGGCGUAAAGCGUUCGUAGGCGGUUUGUUAAGCAAGAUGUGAAAGCCCUGGGCUCAACCUGGGAACUGCAUUUUGAACUGGCAAGCUAGAAUACUGUAGAGGGUGGUAGAAUUUCCAGUGUAGCGGUGAAAUGCGUAGAGAUUGGAAGGAACAUCAGUGGCGAAGGCGGCCACCUGGACAGAUAUUGACGCUGAGGAACGAAAGCGUGGGGAGCGAACAGGAUUAGAAACCCUUGUAGUCC